This 305-nucleotide ribosomal RNA is filed under the name uncultured bacterium. Its description in RNAcentral is "bacterial SSU rRNA". It matches the Rfam family "Bacterial small subunit ribosomal RNA", at positions 333 to 655 of the family's 1533-position model. The record is from RNAcentral.
AAGACCCUACGGGACGCAGCAGUGGGGGAUAUUGCACAAUGGGGGAAACCCUGAUGCAGCAACGCCGCGUGUGGGAAGAAGGUUUUCGGAUUGUAAACCACUGUUCUUGGUGAAGAUAAUGACGGUAAUCAAGGAGAAAGCUCCGGCUAACUACGUGCCAGCAGCCGCGGUAAUACGUAGGGAGCAAGCGUUGUCCGGAUUUACUGGGUGUAAAGGGUGCGUAGGCGGUCUUGCACGUCAGACGUGAAAACCACAGGCUCAACCUGUGGACUGCGUUUGAAACUGUGGGGCUUGAGUGAAGUAGG